GCAGCUACAAUGCAAGUCGAGCGGAUACACUUAAGAGCUUGCUCUUAUGAAGACUAGCGGCGGACGGGUGAGUAACACGUGGGUAACCUGCCCAUAGAGACUGGGAUAACUCCGGGAAACCGGGGCUAAUACCGGAUAACAUUUUGAACCGCAUGGUUCGAAAUUGAAAGGCGGCUUCGGCUGUCACUUAUGGAUGGACCCGCGUCGCAUUAGCUAGUUGGUGAGGUAACGGCUCACCAAGGCAACGAUGCGUAGCCGACCUGAGAGGGUGAUCGGCCACACUGGGACUGAGACACGGCCCAGACUCCUACGGGAGGCAGCAUUAAGGAAUCUUCCGCAAUGGACAAAAUUCUUACGGAA
Molecule: ribosomal RNA, 360 nt
Filed under: Bacillus cereus
Lineage: Bacteria; Bacillati; Bacillota; Bacilli; Caryophanales; Bacillaceae
Description: bacterial SSU rRNA
Rfam family: Bacterial small subunit ribosomal RNA
Source: RNAcentral